Molecule: ribosomal RNA, 460 nt
Filed under: uncultured bacterium
Lineage: Bacteria
Description: partial 16S ribosomal RNA
Rfam family: Bacterial small subunit ribosomal RNA
Source: RNAcentral
CCUACGGGAGGCAGCAGUGAGGAAUAUUGGUCAAUGGACGCAAGUCUGAACCAGCCAUGCCGCGUGCAGGAAGACGGCUCUAUGAGUUGUAAACUGCUUUUGUACGAGGGUAAACGCAGAUACGCGUAUCUGUCUGCACGUAUCGUACGAAUAAGGACCGGCUAACUCCGUGCCAGCAGCCGCGGUAAUACGGAGGAUUCAAGCGUUAUCCGGAUUUAUUGGGUUUAAAGGGUGCGUAGGCGGUCGGAUAAGUUAGAGGUGAAAUCCCGAGGCUCAACUUCGGAAUUGCUUCUGAUACUGUUCGGCUAGAGAGUAGUUGCGGUAGGCGGAAUGUAUGGUGUAGCGGUGAAAUGCUUAGAGAUCAUACAGAACACCGAUUGCGAAGGCAGCUUACCAAGCUACGUCUGACGUUGAGGCACGAAAGCGUGGGGAGCAAACAGGAUUAGAUACCCGGGUAGUC